Molecule: long non-coding RNA, 10183 nt
Organism: Phasianus colchicus (ring-necked pheasant)
Lineage: Eukaryota; Metazoa; Chordata; Aves; Galliformes; Phasianidae
Source: RefSeq, a predicted model, not a curated record
UCGAACCAGCCUACAGCAUUGCUGGUGCCUUUCCACCAGGUGCCUGGGGCUCAGAGGAAAAUGUAAAUGGAUCUUAAAAUUAUGAGACAAUUUCCCUCCCUUCCUCCCAAAUAAAAUAAUUAUAAGAGAAAGAAUUGGUAAGAACGGAUGAAGAAGGGAUUGAAGAUGGAAACAGAAAAGCAGCUUCACCCCACCAGAGCAGGGGGGACCCAGAAAGGCCUUCCACAGGCAGGAAGUUGUCCAAGCAGCUGGAAGAUGGUUUGCGUACCAGCCUCUGAGAUGUGGUUACCACCCACAGCAAGGGACUUGACCCCUUGGUCCAAAACAUCCCUCCUAAGCCUCUUCCCAUAAAACAACUUGUCUUUCUAUACACCAAAAGAAUCUCAAAGUACAUUGCACACAUUAAACUGUCAUGCUUCACACCACACUUGUAGGCAUGGUCUAUAUUCCCAUUCUACACAGAAUGAACUGGUUUGUUCCGGGUGUCACACCCAGGUUAGGACACCCAGUGCAUCCCCACUCAGCACUGCUCUGCUCACUGAGGACCCAAAUGAGAUGGGGCUGUUAGGAGCUGUGAGGCUGUUACAUGCAGACGUGAGAGGCUGCCCUGCAAGGUUCAGGAAAUACUCGUUCUGGAUGUUGUUUUAAAGUUGAGUAUACAGUCUCAGGAAACAUACCUAGAACUGGAGGUUUUAGGUUUUGGACUCCCUGCAUUUGACUGCUGUAAUUGCUGGACUAAACUCCAGUUAGCCUCCAUAAGCAGCCUCCGUUACUCUUAGAGGAAUCUAGCUGAACUGACUGUGGGAUUUCCUGUUCACCUGACUUACAAAUCCAUCACUUUCCUUCUGAAUAAAUGAACGGCACUGGCUGGUACUCACGCCUUAGAUGUAGACAGAAAAACCUAGACUCGAAUCUACUUGCUUUUCUUAUGCAAAUCUUCUCACAAGAUUAGAAGGGAAAGUAAACAGCAGCUCCAGCCUUAAGAUCUUUUUUUUCUUUUAAGAGGCAGCCUGUUGUAUAAAUCUGAAACAGAAACCGUUUCCAUUUGAAGAUCAAAUAGAAGUUAUCUACUGAAGCUGACAAACAGGGGCAGAAUAAUCUGUUUGCAUUUUUGGGAAAUGGAUAGCUCUGGUUUUGUUUCAAGACAAGUAACUUUUAAACAAUAUUUAACGAAAUAAUUGACCUUGAUGUUUAAACUACAACUUCCUUCACGUCAUUAAGCCCACUGGUUUUUUGUUGUUUUUUUUUUUUUUAAUGUUUAGUAUUUGAACUCUGGCAUUCAUUCUACUAAUCCCAUAAUAACAUUUGUUUCUAGUGGGAUUUUAUUUGAUGAACUCAUCGGUAAAAAAGGAGAGAAAGAGUUCAGAACAACACGAGCUUUACAGCUCAUUUAUAUUUUCUCCUCUCUGAAAAAAAUAGCAAAAAGACAUGUGCUAAAUGACUUUUCAGGAAUAACUUUGCAGAUGGAAGGAACAAGGAGAAGCUUUAUACAGCUUUAUAUAAAGCUUUAGGAAAAACUGUGCUCUUUUAACAUACAUUCUGACUUUCAGAAUGCACUGCAAUCCUUGACUGCAAAUAAUGAUUUGGGUAAUUUGUCUUCAUGAUAAUUAGGAUCUGAGUCUGCUUUUGAAAUGUAGGAAAAAUGGAAAUAACUCCAUAAAGUGUAUCUAUCACAUAAAGCUUUUAGGACAGCCUGAUUCACAGUGUAUCCUGCUCUUUGUUCAGCUGACAGAUUUCCAGCAGCCGAAAGAGGCACAUAUCUGGGGGCUGCCAUUAUCUAAGCUAAAUAUGUACAUUUUGGAUCAGUUCUAUUUUAUUUGAAUACUCACAACUUCUGCUGGGGGAUCAUAAGCAUGAAAGGACCGCGGAGAUGUGCAUUUUAUUAGCUAUCCAUCAGUCUUUGUGCACGGACAAAGGUACAUAAACAUACACAUUUUCUGAGCUCUCAGCUCAGCAAGACUUUAGACAGUACAUGCAGUAAGAUUUCAAAUAAAAACAAGCAAUCAAUCAAACAACAAACACACUGCCAUGCAAAAAAGCAAGCACAUAAUUUGGGGGAGGUGGGAGCACUAAAGCAAUAAAUGAACAUGUAGAAUUUAGCCUAAUUUUUAUUUGACUGUUAAUGAAAAAUAUUGUGGCAGCAAAGGAUUAUUUAAGUUACGGAAUCCUGGAAUUACAAAACACUGAUAUCUACCUAAAUGCUGAUGUGUACCCUUGCACGUAAUGUACUCAUACACAGAUAAAAGCUCUUCCUUUAUCCCCGCUGGCACAAAUUUCAUCCUUUCAAUUUGUGGACAUAUGAGGAAUCAGGUUGCUUUACUCUCAACAAAGGGCACCUAUCUACCAUUUGAAGCACUUAAAAAUAUUUGAAUUCCCUCCCCAGUGCACAAACAGCCAACUCAAAAACUAUUGCAGGCUCAGGAUCUAGAGAACGCGAUGGUGUUACGCAAUGGGUGGUGUGACGUUAUCUGGUGAUCUGAGCAGGGUCAUGCUGGUCAUGGGACAAUGCAAAUUCCAUGUCAGGCAUCAUGCUGAUACAGGUUGUCUGCAGCUUCACCCCAAUGACAAGCAACGCAGGCAGGCUUGAAUUAAGUGGCAUUUAUUUCCCAUCUCAGCUCUUGCUCCCCUACUGCAGAAUGGGUGCGUAAUUCGACCCUGAGCAGCCCUUCACUCUCCUGCCCAUCCCCUUGACCCCACACUCAUCACCAGCUGACUGACUUACAAACCACCUGCAUCUGACACAAGAUCAUCACCCACACCGGGAGAGAAGGUGUAUGUUUGUAGGAGGUGUAGCUACUGAGUAGUAUCUCUCAUCCUCAUUCUACAAUCUCGUGUUGUGGCUGGACACCAGCAAGUGAAGGGAGGAAGCACUGCCAACGCUAAUGGCAGCCUGUACAGCCUCCCCACUCAUGCUGGCAGCUCCUAUGCUCACAGAGCAAUUAAUAUAUGUGCUUAUGCCACUACUGCUUUUCACUUUUACGGGGAACUCAAGCAUGGCACCUGGGAUGGCAAUUCCUGACCACAGACGCUGCAUCAGAGUACCAACACACAGUUACUCAUAGAAACUGAUGGUCUCAUAUUUUUUCUUUUUUGCUUUGAAAUCAUGAAUUAUAAAGGAAAACACAACACAGCAUCUCUUCAGUGAACUGAGUGCUGCCCCCACUGUAAGUUAGACCAAACCCACGACCGCUAUGUUUUGUGACACGCAGCUAACGCCCAGCUGCCACGUCUUUUCCUGACAAUUGAACACAGCCUGCAACAUUCUGUCAGUGACAGGAGAUGGUAUUUCAGACAUACUGGGUAAACAUGCCUGUGCCAUCUUCUGCUACUCUGACAAUGAUUUGUGAGGAACCCACCCAGCACAUUGCCUCAGACAGGGACUAAGCUGUCUCCCCUUGGCACAGGCUUUAAACAAGGAGCUGUGCAAAACCAGGCUUUGUUGUGAGAAUGAAUACACCACUCUUACCUGUUCCCCUGAUGAUUCUCUUAUUCCUGAGGACAAUUUACCUUGUGACUGUGCUGCUCCUUGGGAAAUUCUCCCCAGUACUCUUACCAACAUCCCCUUACAGAUCAGGGAACCAGCAACAGUGACUAUGUCGUAAAUUUCAUCAGUCUCCAGCUGUCUUGUUUUAGGAUCUUCUGUCCUCAAAGCCUUUUCCUAUCAGAUACAUGGAUUCUUUGUAAUCUCUGCUGAAUGGAGCAUUUCUGUAUACUGAAAAAAAAAAAAAAAAAAAAAAAAAGGAAUAUUUCCACCUGUAUAUCACUAUUAAAUUCAGUGGUUCAUGUGGAGAUGUAGCUGUAGAUGUCCCUGUUCAUUGCAGGGGAGUUGGACUAGAUGAGCUUUAAAGGUCUCCUCCAACUCCAGCAAUUCUAUGAUGAUAACUCUUUGAUGAUUCUAUGAGAUCAUGACAGUCAACUUGUAAAGAUCUUCAGGGUCUGCCUAUAAGGAAUAUGUCAUGCAAGUGCCUCUGCUUACUGCCAUUUCCCAGGGUUAAACAAUAUCUAUCUGGAUACAUACCCUUACUCUUUCCUCCAGACAUACCUCUGGCUCCGUAGCAGUGCCCUGGGGAAGCUCAGACCAUUCUGCAAGUGCUGAUGGUGUGAAUACACAUAGGAUUAAGGCUGCUAGCUACGGCAUGUCACUUCUGCCUGCAGCUUACUAAAGCAAAAAAGUCUUGUGGCUGACAUGUCCUCCACGUCACUGGCUUACAUGACACAUGCCAGAGAAUGUGUCAACCUUCUCCCCAUCUCCUCAGCAUUAUUAGCCCAGGGAAGGAAAUGCAGCCAAAGAACUCACAUGCAACUUUGACAGGUUCUGCCUAAUCCACCCACAUAAUGACCUUUCUUAUGCUAAGUGCCAGAGCGGUGCAAGGAGACCACUGCCUGUAUCAGCUGCUGGCAAGUCAAAGUUAGUUUCAUGGUUAUGUUUAAGAGAGAGCCUGACUUUACGUUAAGAAGUCUUUGUCUCCCGCAGUGCAGCGCUCAGAGAAUGACAUCAAAAGCCUUCCUAAUUCACACACCCGGGUCAUUUGAUUGUAGGCAAGGCACAGAGCCGUGCUGCCCCAGCAGCCCGUGAGCCACAAUGACAUCCAUGACUAUCCUCUUAUUCCAUGGAAGGAAGUAACGUGCUCGGAGCAUAACACAACCAACAGUAGAUUACAUCCUUCCUCAUGUCAGCUUAGCCCUGCUGGCUGCUGGGGGAGGCACUGGCAAGUCUAACACAGCCUCCCACUUCCCAGUUUCACUCCUCCCCACCCCAUCCUCAGGGAGCUGGGCCUCCCCAAGCUGGGACAUGCCAUGUGGGCAACCACACGAGAGGAUUCUGCUCCAGCAGACAAGGAAGAGGACGUUCCCACUCUUCUCCAGUGUGGCAGCUACACCACAUGCUGAAACAUCAGACCCUCCUCCACCAGGACGAGCGUAACUGAUCACGGAGAUGUAUCUUCUCCUCCCUUGGCAUGUGUCUGUGCAAUCAGUCUAUCUGUUUUUGAUUUAUUUAUUUUCAGGCUGCCUUCUGCACCCUUUCUCGGGUACGUGGGGCACACCACAGACUUGCCCUUGAAGUACACAGAAAUAAAAUCAGAAACAGACUAACCACAUGAACCAAUACAAAGGGACACAAAACACAUGACUGGAUGCUGCAGUUCAUCAGAGAUCCAUCUGUCUUCGGAUGUGAUAUAACAGCAGUCAUGUACCACAUUUGCAAAGGAGGCAACACAUCCCUCCUCAUAACCUGCCUUGUAAGGUGAAACUCUGAUAGCUCAGAGAAGCCAAGGCAAUACUAAAAAUCAUUUCAAAACAAGAUACAGAAAUCUGGUCUGUAUUCACAAAGCUAAAGCAAUAGCUUCCUAUUCUGAAGUGUCUACUGUCAGUGCUAUUGUUGCUUUCUGGAAUUUAGGCUUGAAUUUGACAGAAGUUGGGAUGCAAAGACAAACGCAGAACCGCUUGUGAGAAUCAGCGUAUCUGUGGGCAUGGGCCAGUCCUUUCCUGAGCAAAUCCCUGCCACCAAGAGCUGCUGGUAAAGGAGUAACACAGAUGGCAGUCAGACCUUGCUGUGUAGGUUCAUACCUCCAAGGCGAGGCUGUUUAAGAAUACAAUUCACCAUUCUUCCUGCAAAUAGACAGUACAGCAUAAUGAACCAUACCUCCUAGUGCCAUUAAAAUGCAUGUAUUAUAUUCUGUAACUGUUUCUUGUUUGAGUCCCAGAAGCAGUGUUGUUGCCUGGGAGGGAGUAUCAAAACAUUAAUCAAAAAUAGAUGUGCAGUACAAGAAAUGAGGGCCAAGCAGAUGAGUAUAUAUAGCUUCCUGCAUACUGAGAAUGUAGGAGCUGUCUGAAAACACUGUGAUUAGAGUCAAUGUGCUUGAUACAGCACCACAGACAUUGUACACAGCUGUCAAUCCUAUACUGAACAUCUUAUUUUAUACCCUGUGGUUCUGCAGCCCCUCAUCAGGUGAAUGAUGCAAAGAUGCCAUUCAUGUGGCAGAACAGACAAUGGAGAAACUCUCCAGACAGAACCCUCUACUUGUUUCUGGUUAGGAAGAAUAAUUUUUUCCUUCUUUUAGCAUCAACAGAAAUACAGAUGCAAAAGCAAGACCUGGAUAAAUGAGACAAGUAUUGUUCCUUCAAGCAGAAUGUCCUGACUUCAAGACAGAAACUUUCUUACUGCCCUACAUCAUUGCCAUGGAUUUCUUUAUUUCACUGUGUGGGAAACUCAUCCUCUACCAGCCUGAUUCACGGAGAUAAGUACCACAUUGCUUAUUUGCUUUCCCAUGAAGUUUAUCAGCUAAGUUUUCAUGAGUUGAGAAAAUCACUUGACAGAUGCAACCAGGUUGCUUUUCGGAAAAAAAAAAAAUAAUAAUUUAGUUUUCUACAAAUUUUUUUCUGGGUCUUAUUGACAUGAGUUUAAACUUUUCUACAACAAGUGAGACAGAGGGAUCUACCCAAUCAAAUCCAAUCACAUCUCUCCUUUGUCUGGUUUGGAAUACAGAUAUAGUAACGUGGAUGCCACAUGAACAUCUUAGCUGCUGGCUGUUUUGCACUUUCUCUGCCUCUCUCCAAAUCUCUUUCCCCGUUUUCUGCUAAUCUGUGAUCUCUCCCCACUCUCAUCUACUCUGCUAGCCUAGCUCUCUAAGCAGAGCUCUUCAAAAAACCCUGACCAGCUCUGUGGAUCUGUAGAGUGAUGAGGCAGAUCUGGCUGUCAGAGGACUAUUUGUCACAGGUACUGAAGUUAGUUUGGAGUCAAAUUAGUUUCUCAUAUUUGAGAAACUAUGGAUAUUUGGAAUGGGUUGCCAACCUACCUCAACAAAAGUUAACUCUCAUUUGCUGGGAGCCUGAGGAGAUGGUGCCAGUAACAUCGCAAGGUUCACAAAUACAACACAACUUGUCAUAACAAGUUCCUCUGGCAACAUCUGUUAGCAGCCCACAGAACUAUGUAGCACUUAAGCCAGAUAUAGCCAUAAUAUAUUUUUUUGCACUGAGCCGUAGCUAUUUGUACCUUUCCCAGACAUCAACAUACAUUAUUUGCUGCUGGCCUCAGAAAACCCCACCAUUUCUUUCAGAGAAUAUUUGCAUUUCUCUGGCAUUAGUCUACAAUGCCAUGCCAGGUACAUCUCAGGAACAGCCUUUUCUGUAGACAUCAAACUCAGAUUUGUAUCAAAUUCUUUCAGACACUCCUGUCAAUUUUUAGCCAGCAUCAGAGACUGGUUCCAGACAUCAUUGCUUCUAAAUCAAUGAAGCUAAUUUCUUACAUGAUCUCCUCCCAUUUUCACCAUCACUCCAAAUCCUUAAUAGCACUGCAACUAGGUUCACAUACUGUAUCCAACAUUGGGCAUGUUGAUCUGGCACCACCAGACAAGACUAUAUAAAUGUAAUUUUGGCUUCUGAGCACAUCAGUAUUACCAUUUCAGUGCUUUAUCACUGCUGAUAGAUUUAGAGAUUAAUCAAAUCUCAUUCAAGUAGUGAGGUAAUAUCAACAUGACUAGACUACCACGAAUGUUGUUUGUAAAGAGGGGAAGAUGGAGGAAUUCUGUCCUGUGUGCCAUCAGCAUCUUGUUGCAAGUCAGAAUUCUUUUAUGCUUUUGGCAUUCUGGAACAGUCAUGGAUGAAAGAGGUAAGUGCAAAGACAACUUCUACAGUGAAAAUUACUUGUGAAUAUUUCUUUUGGAAGAAGGGAGCUGUCUAUUGAGAGAAAAGAAUCAAAGGAAGUUAAUGCAUGCCACAGAUGUGCCAUGCCCUUCCUCUGGCUUUAAUAAGCUCGGUGGGUUUUUCCACUGAAACAGCAAGGGAUUUUCCUAUCAGAGAGUAACAGAUAUCAGUAGAUCUCCCACCAUAUCUAGACAUUGCAUCUCUUCCAAUUUAAAUGCUACAUCAGUGGUUAUUAAGACUGCAUUGCAAAGAAAUAAAACUAGGGAAAACAUUCUGGAGGGUGCUCUGGAUUCUAUUAAAGGAUUGAAUUUCUCACUAUAUUACACUUUUUCCAUAUGGCUGAAAUCUGGAGCUGCAUAGUACUGUGAAUAUGCUCAUAUACUGCUAGUGGCAUAAUCCCAGAUGGUGACAAAUGACCCAGUUCCAACAGCAAUGUAUAGAUUUUUAAGACACUGACAUUCAGCUGUGCUCUUGGGAUAUUCCUUCCAAACAAUGAACCACUGGCAGAUAACACAGUUUAACUUCUGCCUUCAGUUUUAUACGUAUUUUAUGGCUAACACUGCUGAGUUACUUCUUUGUUAAGUACUCAGCCUUGUAAUAGUGUACAGAUGACAUGAGAUAUUCCCUUACCACCAGCAAACAAUCUCCUUUGGUCCACGGAGGUCAGCUGUGGAGCAGGCAGUGUGUCGCUAUCUGUGUGUAAGGAUAUGCUCUGGCAUGCUUGAAGUGAGCUGAUAACGUCUUACCCCUGCUUAGGCCCUUCAGCUGCCUCUUGGGGAAGUGAGAAAGGCUGCCAAGCUCAAGAUGUGCUGCAUCCUGCAAUUUGGCUUUACUGAGAAGUACAACCCCUCCCCCAAACUCACCCACGCACUUCUUCACCCCAAGAAGAGGUCAUCACACAAAAAGGAGAUAGGAGGGAAAGAGACUGCACACUUGACUAUAGCUGCAAAAGAGAAAAGUCUAGAGCCCUCUUGAGAUGUUGUGUAAAGAGAAAGCAAUCUGGGCUGUCUCCAUUUUUACAGAAAGACCUCUGUGCUCCUGCGGACUUCGUGGCCUGCCAGAUGGAGACAGCUCCAAGUAACACUGAGCUCUUAUUGCUGCAGAAAACCAAGGAGAACUAUAACCCCAAAUACUGCAGGUGUAGGAGGGAAUGCUUGCUCAGAUGAUGAUUCAUGUCAGCAUCUGAAUAAAUAAGGUCAGACAGCCAGAGAUUAUUCCAGUGAAAGGGAGUUGAUUUGUUUGGGGGGCAGAAAGGAGUGGCUUUUUGUUUCAUAUCAUUAUAACGAAAACCUGCCCUGAUCUGAAUUUUUUUCAAGAAGUAGCUCUCACCUAUUUUAAUUAAGACCUCAGUUCAGCAAAACAUUUAACUGCUGUAACCUACCUGUACUGGAAUUGUUGUACCAAAUGCAGAAAUCCUAAGGUUAGCAUAUGCAGUAUAGUCAGAUUUAGGUAGCAUUUAUAUACUUAUCCACAACAGUUUGAAGGAACACAUCACCACUACAGACCAUCAGAAACAAAAAACUACUUGCCUCAAAGGGGUGAGAAAGGAUUAAUUAGUUAGUGCUCGUGCAGCACUGCAAAGACACAAAUUGUGGGACUGUGUUACUAGCAGGAAAAAGAUGCCAACAGGAAGCAGCAUUGUUAAAGGCACGAGGACAAACAAUGGCUUUGUUCUCAGAUUUGUAAAUGAUUCUUCUGCUAUUGAAAGGUGUUGGCCUUUCAGUCUAGGAGACUGAAAUCCUCUUUCUUCACCCAAAAGAGCCUUCACAGGCUGUGCAUACUUUCUCACACUCUCUCACCCGCGUUCCUCACUAUUAGCUUAUAGAUGCUAGACAGUAGUCCAUUCUCCAUAGCCCUUUUAUUGCUUGGCCUCUGCUUCAACUGCCAAGAAGGGUGCCAUUUAGACUCAAUUGUUACGGUAGCUUUUACGAUCUAGACAUGGUGUCUAGGAUCAGAGACUUCCUAGCAAUUCUGUAUAUGCUGCUCCACUGCCAUCAGAGGAGAAUGGCUCCUGGCUGCCAACCAUGUCGGCAGAAUUCAAAGCAGUGACCUACAGAUGAAAGGCACCCCAUCCCCAAAUGGGCCAGCUGAGCCAUCCAGCCCCCAAAUGCCAGGUCCUCACUGAAUGAAACCAUAUUGUGAUGUGGUGCUCAGAAGGGGAAAAAAAAGACAAUUUUAAAAUAUCUGUGGACAAUGGCUUUCUAGAACUCGGGCUGCAGGCAUCCAGACCUCACUUACAUAAUAUUUCUAUCAUGCACCAUCCUCCUAUCCAACUCCCCACCCCAUGCCAAGGUGCUGGAGGGAGGUCCUGUUCUUAUUUAUGCAGCAUGAAUACAAAAUCAGAGAGAGCGGCAGAAACUUUCCAUGGAAAGGUAUGGUGCCUUUGGCAUGCUGAGGAAAACAGCAGAGCAAGAACAGCUUGUAAGUUAGGGGGAAGAGAAGGAUUAAAGAAAUUGGAAUAGCUACUUCCAAGCAUUUCCUCAAAAAAGAAAGAAGACUGGAGCCCUUUAAACCCAAGACUCACACAGAAAAAAAAAAA